UGGUCUGUGAGGAGAGUUUCUCAGACUUUGAUGUGCACAUCACCAGACUGGGGAAUCCUGGCAAGUGCAGUGGAUCUGGAAUGUACCUGAGACUCAGCAUUCCUCAUCAAUUGCCAGGUGGCUGUUCUGUGUGGCUAACAGAGUAAGGUACCUGUCAGGAUAUCCAAGAAGCCUCAGCAACUGCAGCAUGCAAGUCAGAAAGCAAGUUGACUAAAAAAUGUUGGAGACAGAAACUAAUGAGGUCUUUUAUGGAAGAGUUAUACACUGGAGCUCAUGGGAAGGCAGCAUGAACAGGCAACACCCAUUGCCUAAUGGGAAGGCAGCCGGAGCAUGGCACAUCCAUUGCCUGAUGGGAAGGCAGCAUGAACAUGGCACAUCCAUUGCCUGAUGGGAAGGCAGCAUGAACAUGGCACAUCCAUUGCCUGAUGGGAAGGCAGCAUGAACAUGCCACAUCCAUUACCUGAUGGGAAGGCAGCAUGAACAUGCCACAUCCAUUGCAGUCUUGCACAAACCAUUGAGUUAUGAAUUGCAAGCACAAUGGAUUGAAAGCACAAUGGCGGGCAUGUUGCAGAUAUCACACCUAUGCUGCUGGUUAUGUGAUUCACUCUAAUAUAACACUAACAAACAUUU
Molecule: long non-coding RNA, 630 nt
Organism: Peromyscus eremicus (cactus mouse)
Lineage: Eukaryota; Metazoa; Chordata; Mammalia; Rodentia; Cricetidae
Exons: 3
Source: RefSeq, a predicted model, not a curated record